CACUUGUGGCUCCCACUGUCAAAACGAGACAACAUCCGUUACGGGCGGGUUACCGCUAGCGACCGGGAGGUGGAGGAGGCGGCGAUCGCUGCUGACAUUCAUGACAAAAUCAUGACCUUCCCUGACGGUUAUGAAACUCAGGUGGGUGAAAGAGGUCUGAAGUUGAGUGGAGGAGAGAAGCAGAGAGUGGCCAUCGCCCGCACCAUCCUCAAAGCACCACAGAUCAUUCUCCUCGAUGAGGCCACAUCUGCUUUAGACACACAGACCGAACGAAACAUACAAGCCUCGCUCGGUAAAGUCUGCGCCAACAGAACCACCA
Triplophysa rosa is the source of this 319-nucleotide long non-coding RNA. RefSeq lists it as uncharacterized. The transcript is spliced from 3 exons. The record is from RefSeq and is a predicted model, not a curated record. NCBI's taxonomy places the organism in Eukaryota, Metazoa, Chordata, Actinopteri, Cypriniformes, Nemacheilidae.